AUGAAAGAAAAAUAUAAAAUUCUUGUCUGGAAAAGCAGUAGAGAGAACAAUCUAGUUAUAAUUAACUGGGCUCUAAGAUCUACUAUUUCUGUAUGCGUAAGACCAUGUAGUAAUAACACCACCAGUUGCAUAAUUAAAAGUAUCUUUAAGAAAGCAAAUAUUGCAAAUCAAUUUAGGGUCACUGAUUGCCUAGAUUUUUUCCACUGUGGCCCAACCUUUAGAUGAGACAGAAAGGGAAAUAAUACUUCAGAAAAAUACCUGUUUAUUUCAUUCUGAUUUUUACUCUGAGGAAUUGAAGAAGUAAUCAUACUUCAUAUGUAAGCAAAAAUGAACAUCCUAACAUAUGUAUGGAUAUUAAAGCCUAGCUAAUUUUUCUUUUAUUUUGCUGUGUUGAACAAAAGGUUAAAUUUCAUUUAACCAACUUGAUAUGGCAAAUACUUUGUAGAAUGAAGAGAUUGCAAAAUGUAGGAAAAGCAGUUUUUUGCCUUCAAAGGGCUUAAGCCAGAGUAAAAGAUUUCACAAAAGCAACUGUAAUAUUAUAUUUCUACAAAAACUUUGCUCAAGCUUAAAUAUUUCUCCAUGUAUUAUCAAAGAUACACAAAUUCCCUAUGAGGUAUUUUAUACAAUUUUAAAAUCAUUUGAAAAGAUUAGUAGAGUCCUACUUGAGAACAUCCAGUGGGCUUUCCUCUAACCAAGAACUGCUGCAGACUUACAAACAUAUCUGUGUUUGAGUUUUUGAUCAAGCUGAUACCUAAAGUUAGUUUUUUUAAAUGUAUUGAUAAGCUUGUUUAGUUGCUAUUAAUUUCCUAACAUCAAAGUGAUCGAAAUGGGCCAAAUUCUAUUGAAUACUCAAAUUUAAAACUUUACUUGUAAAGUGAUAGUUCACAAUAGAAAUAUAUAUCAUAACUUGACUUUAGCUUUUAAAUAUGUUUAAAAAUAUCAUUUUAAUUUGAUACCACAAAAGUGACAGUGUGGCAGAACAAUGUAUUUUUUAAAAGGUUGUGGGCUAAUAAUACAGUCACAAUCACUGAUACUGAGGCUAAUGAUGGAUUUGUACAAAAUGUUGGAUACAGAUGCUGUCAGGUUGCACUGUAUAUAUAAAGUUUCACUAUUACUACAAUAAAAAAAAACAAUGUUCACCAACGAUUUUCUAAGCACUUUGUAUGAAUUUAUUUAAUCUUUUGAUAGGCAGAAUCAUGGCCCCUCAAAGAUGUCCACAUCCUAAUUCCCAGAAUGUAUAAAUAUUCUACAUAUGGCCGGGCAUAGUGGCUCACGCCUGUAAUUCAAGCACUUUGGAGGCCAAGGUGGGCGGAUCACCUGAGGUGGGGAGUUCAAGACCAACCUGACCAACAUGGUGAAACCCCAUCUAUAAAAAAAUAAUAAUAAUAAAUAAAUAAAUAUUUUACAUAUAGGGCAAAAGAGACUUUGAAGAUAUAAUUAAAGUCAUAGGCCUUAAAUAUAGAGAUUACUUUGGAUUAUCUGGAGUGGCC
This 1490-nucleotide long non-coding RNA is filed under the name Callithrix jacchus (white-tufted-ear marmoset). RNAcentral's name for it is "lncRNA (ENSCJAG00000084528.1)". The record is from RNAcentral. Lineage: Eukaryota; Metazoa; Chordata; Mammalia; Primates; Cebidae.